Molecule: long non-coding RNA, 456 nt
Organism: Oncorhynchus tshawytscha (Chinook salmon)
Lineage: Eukaryota; Metazoa; Chordata; Actinopteri; Salmoniformes; Salmonidae
Source: Ensembl
GGUUGGGGUUAAGACUAGGGUUAAGGUUAGGGUUGGGGUUAAGACUAGGGUUAAGGUUAGGGUUGGGGUUAAGACUAGGGUUAAAGUUAGGGUUGGGGUUAAGACUAGGGUUAAGGUUAGGGUUGAGGUUGGGGUCAGUUUGAGUGUUUUCCUUCAUUGGACUGCCAAUGUGUUGCACCCCAAUAUGCCUUAGUAACGGCUGAGCACACAGGUCUUCCUCGGUACCAAUUUGUUUGUGGGUUCUGGAAGUAACGUGCCCGAGGGAAGGGGCCCAUUUCAUUGUCAAACAAUCACCCACGUGAAUCACCAGUUUUCCUGUCUGGUAACUCCUCUAACAUCAAAUAAACUUAUUUUCUAAAUACUUUGUCUCAUUUUCUAAAGUUCUAGACUCUACUGUUUAACUCAGUGAAUCAUUUGUUGGCUUUCAGUGAUGUGUAUAAAGGGUUCAUGUGUUCA